AUGGGGGGGGAGGGGGGGAGGGGCAGGGGGGCGGUGGGGGGGGGGGGCAGGGCGGGGAGGAAGAGGAAGGAGACGGCGGCGGUGCGGAGGGGGGCGGGGGGCGCGGAGCCCCCCAACAUCUGCGUGGAGUGCGGGCAGAGCUUCGAGCGCAGCGCGGCGCUGGCCCGGCACCGCAGUGACCACCGGAGUGACCAACGGAGUGACCGCAGGAGUGACCGCAGCACUGACCACCGGAGUGACCAACGGAGUGACCACAGCACUGACCACAGCACUGACCACCGGAGUGACCACAGCACUGACCACAGCACUGACCACAGCACUGACCACAGCACUGACCACCGGAGUGACCACCGGAGUGACCACAGCACUGACCACAGCACUGACCACCGGAGUGACCAACGGAGUGACCACAGUGACCAUGGCUCUGGGCUGAGCUUCCAGAGCAGCGCGGCGCUGGCCCGGCACCGCAGUGACCACAGCAGUGACCACCGGAGUGACCACCGGAGUGACCAACGGAGUGACCGCAGCACUGACCACCGGAGUGACCAACGGAGUGACCACAGCACUGACCACCCGAGUGACCACAGCACUGACCACCGGAGUGACCACAGCACUGACCAACGGAGUGACCAACGGAGUGACCAACGGAGUGACCGCAGCACUGACCACCGGAGUGACCACCGGAGUGACCGCAGCACUGACCGCAGCACUGACCGCAGCACUGACCACAGCACUGACCGCCCGAGUGACCACCGGAGUGACCACAGUGACCAACAGAGUGACCACGGCACUGACCAUGGCUCUGGACACGGCACUGACCAAGGCAGCGGUCAGCCCGGCUGCUACGGACAGACGGACAUUGGUCACGGUCAGCAGGGCGGCUCAGGACACAGCAGUGACCACAGACUGAGCACUGACCACAGCUCUGGAAACAGGAGUGACCGUGGCAGCGGUCAGUGCAGCGGCUCCAGACAGCCAGACCAUGGCCGUGGUCAGCGGGCUUGUGGCCGUGGUCAGCGAGGCAGCUCUGGACAGAGGAAGCUCAGUGGAAAUGGCCAAAGAGGCAACAGCGGUCAGCGGGGCGGCUCCGGCCAGCUGGACAUCGAUGGGAAUGGCCGGAGGGUCAGCCAUGGCAGCGGUCAGCAGGACCAUGGCAGUGGUCAGCGGGAGCACAGCGAUGGUCAGUGGGGCGGCUCCGGCCAGCCGGACAUUGACAAUGAUGACCAACAGCCCACACCCAGCGGCGCCAGCGGCCUGGCAGAUGACCGCCCUGAUGACCGCCCAGAUGACCACCCCACAUCCCACCACCCCAGCACUGCCCCCUCCGCUGACCACUGCCCACUGACCUGUCCGGACUGCGGCCAAACCUUCUCCCAGAGCUCCCACCUGCAGCGUCACCGCCGCGGCCACACCGCGCUGACCACAGCCUGCGGUCACUCCCACACCGCGCUGACCGGAUACCUGCGGUCACUCCCACACCGCACUGACCGACACCUGCGGUCACUCUCCGGCCACGCCGCGGCCCCGCGCGCGCCUGGACGGCCGGAGGAGCCCCAAGGGGCAGCGCAGGGGCGGCCGAGCGCGGCCCAAAUCCGCUCUGGGCAUCCCCAACACGUGCGGGGAGUGCUGGCAGAGCUUCGGCCAGAGCUCGGACCUGGUCAAGCACCUGCGCAUCCACACGGGCGAGCGGCCGUACGCCUGCGGCCACUGCGGCAAGCGCUUCAACGUCAGCUCCAACCUGAGCCGGCACCGGCGCAUCCACACCGGCGAGCGCCCGUACGGCUGCGCCGACUGCGGCAAGAGCUUCACCGACCGCUCCACGCUGAGCCAGCACCGGCGCAGCCACACCGGCGAGCGCCCGUACGGCUGCGGGCUCUGCGGCAAGAGCUUCAGCCGCAGCUCGCACCACCGGCGCCACCAGCGCACCCACGCCAGGGACGCCGCCGCUGCGGCUGGGGCGGCGCCGCAGAUCUGGGGGUACCCGAGCCAGGCUUCUUGAGCAGCGUUCUGAUGGUUGGAGUAAGGAAAAAUUAAAGAAAAUCUGGAAUAAUGAGUGGGUUUUUUUGGUGUUUGGUGGUUGUAAUUGCAGUGUCUUGAUGCCAGCCCAAGUCCCAAUCCCAAGUCCCAAUCCCAGUCCCAGUCUUGGUCCCGGUCCCAUCAUCUUGAUCCCUGUCCAAGUCCCAGUCCUGAUCCUGGUCCCAGUCUUGGUCUCAGACCCAUCAUCUUGAUCCCAGCCCCAAUCCCAAUCCCAGCCCCAAUCCCAGCCCCAAUCCCAAUCCCAGCCCCAAUCCCAAUCCCAGCCCCAAUCCCAGUCCCAUUCUCACCAUCCCACCCCAGCACCCACGCCGGGAGCGCCGCUGGGGCUGGGGCGGCGCCGCAGAUCUGGGGGUACCCGAGCCAGGCUUCUUGAGUUGGAAAAAUUAAAGAAAAUUUGGAAUAAUUGGGGAUUUUUUUGAGUUUUUUUUGGUGUUUUUUGGGGUGGUAGGUUUGGGGUUUUGGGGGUUGGUUUGGGUUUUGGUCGCGGUUCCAGUGUCUUGAUCCCAGCCCCAAUCUUGGUACCAGACCCAUCAUCUUGAUCCCAAUCCCAGUUCUGAUCUUGGUCCCCAUCCCAGUCCUGAUCCCAGUCCCAUCCCAGUCCCAAAU
This 2643-nucleotide long non-coding RNA is filed under the name Camarhynchus parvulus. RNAcentral describes it as "lncRNA (ENSCPVG00000017137.1)". The record is from RNAcentral. Lineage: Eukaryota; Metazoa; Chordata; Aves; Passeriformes; Thraupidae.